GUGAGGGUGGAGAGGGGAAUGCAGUCAAGAUUCCUUCAUGACUCAUAUUUCUCUAUUGAAAACUAAGGUUUCUGGUCACAUUAGGGUAGAGAAAUUGAUAGCAGCUGCAGAUGGGAAAGUUUGAACACGUAUCUCCCUAGGCAGUAUUUUCCCUGGUGUUUUCUGUGCCUGCGCUAUGUUGUAAAGUAUUGUAGAUUGCAGUUUUAUGGUUAGCUGAAGCUUCUUCAGUUAGGUAGAAGAACCAAAACCAUUUAAUCCUUUUUCUUCAGAACACUCACCAUGUUUUAUGCUCUUUCUUCAUUUGUUGCAGUGCUGGUGUGACAUCUGCCUGUCCUCACUCAGCAUCAGUGAUGUUGAAUUCUACAGAUGGGAACUAAGAGAUGGUUCCUUUGGUAAAAUGCAUGCUGUGGUGAAGAUGAGGGCCUGAUCCUCAACACCUACAUAAGAAGCUGGGCAUGGUGGCACAAGGCUCUCAUCCCUGUGUUGAGAAGGUGGCCAUCUGUCGUGGCCAAGUGGCGUCACCUUUACUCAGUAAGCUCCAGGAAUUCCAUCUCUUUCUUUUUCUGUGUUAUAUAAUUUAUUUACCCAAUUUUUGGUGGGUAGUACUGGAUCUCAGAUCCUUAAUGCAAGUGAAGUGUUAAAGCUGUUGCCUUGCAUUCUGAAGGAUCAGCCGAAUAAUUCUGGAGUGUGAAACGUAGUCUACUGAGAGAAUGGCAAAGGCAUGGAGCAGUUCACUGAUGCCACGGUAGAUCCAUAAGGAGAACAGAGAUGUCAGAGAGGGAGACUUUGGGGUUGAGUGCUGAGCAGCGUCCCCUCUGUGCCUCUCCCUGCCUGGAUAUACAGACGGAAAUCACCGCAGGCAUUUGACUGCUUCAUGUAGCCCCGGAAAGGAUACUGUGGGUCAUCUCAGAGCCAAAACUAGAAACAAGCACCUUUGAAAAAUAGCCCAGUGAAUGUGAAAGAAGCAUUUCUGCAGAGGGAGCUGCCAGCAAGACUUGUUCCUUUGCCAGAAGGGGUGCUGGGCGAAAGCCUCUAUCCCUCAUUAAAUCAAUAAAAUCAAG
This 1061-nucleotide long non-coding RNA is filed under the name Cricetulus griseus (Chinese hamster). RNAcentral describes it as "lncRNA (ENSCGRG00015032529.1)". The record is from RNAcentral. Lineage: Eukaryota; Metazoa; Chordata; Mammalia; Rodentia; Cricetidae.